CGCAGUCACGGAUAUCGGGUCUAGCAGUGCGCGUCUACGGCUCGGGUGUCCGACGACCGCGCGCGUGAAAAACGAUAUUCAUCUGGAACGCGCGUUUGCACAGUUGCCUCAUGGACGAGCCGAGGAGCGCCCAAGAGCGGAAGAACGGAAACGACUGUGAGGCCGAUAGGUGUCCGGUGUAUUUAUUUAUACGCCAAAAAAAAGACGACCCUCCAGGUCGAAACACAAUCAUUCGUCGCCCUCGGCUGUCGCGACCGAGUUGCUAUGGAAAUGCCGGAACGCUGGAAUUACAUCCCUUGUAGAUUCGGUACGUCCAACGCUCCCUGGUAGCGGAUCCGCAGCGACCGAGGGGUAGUGCAGCGCUGCGACGGGGUACAAAGUGAAUUCUAUGCGUACUAAGCACAGAAACUCUGUAAAAUUGACUCGCUAGAUGCCGCUGAAUAGCAACGCUAACCCAAGAGUAACGUGAAGUGUCCGUCGGUUCGUAUUUUUAAUUUCGUCCCGCGCAAGGAUUAAAAACGGUGUCCAAAUGAAGCGGUUUGGAUUACACGAAAACCAAAACAGUAUUAAUUUACAUAUGUUUUUAAAAGUCAUUCUUACUUAAUUAUUUUUUCAACAACGGUGUUGCUAUUCAUUUAGUUUCUUAACAAAGCGCCUACAAUCAAAUCAAAUGUGAACUAAUACCUAGCCGAAGUGUUCUGUUGAAGUAUUAAAUUAGUGUGUAAUGUUCGGUAAGGAAAUAUAUUUUUAUUUGAAAACCAAAUGAGAAAUAUAAAUAAAGUACGAGUU
Long non-coding RNA from Sipha flava (yellow sugarcane aphid), 789 nucleotides. RefSeq lists it as uncharacterized. NCBI's taxonomy places the organism in Eukaryota, Metazoa, Arthropoda, Insecta, Hemiptera, Aphididae. The record is from RefSeq and is a predicted model, not a curated record. The transcript is spliced from 2 exons.